RNAcentral lists this long non-coding RNA (1306 nucleotides) under Sinocyclocheilus anshuiensis. Its description in RNAcentral is "lncRNA (ENSSANG00000025551.1)". The record is from RNAcentral. Lineage: Eukaryota; Metazoa; Chordata; Actinopteri; Cypriniformes; Cyprinidae.
GGUUUGGGGGAUGCUGAUGAUCUUGAAGAUGCUUCAGACUGGGACUCUGCCAGCACCACCAGUAAGGCCAGUAAGAAAUUCCCAGUUCAUAAGCUGGAUGAGGAACCCGUCUUUGAAAGCCCAGCAGCUUCCGCACUACCCAUAACAUCCGAGGAACAGGACGUGGACACCAGAGAACAUAAAGAAGCCAGUCCAGAGAGAAACAAACCCACAACCUCAAGCACAACACCUCUACCUAGUCCACGAUCUCUCAACCCAAACGCCAGCUCAAAACCACAACCACUGCCACUGCCACGACUGCGCUUGGACUCCAAUCAGAGGCCGGAGAGUGAAGGUAGAACUCAGAAACUACAAAUCUUAGAUUUAUUCUCUUAGCUUUUGAGGUGAUUUCAAUAAAUAUAUAUGCUGAUACAAAAUUUAUUUAAAUACAGAAUCGGACUGGGAUUUGGAAACUUCCAGUCCAGCCAAGAUGACAAAUUCACUGCCAAACGUCGCUGAGCCUGAUGCAGUUCAUCGGCAGGAACCCAAAGCUGAAGAUGUCGAGAGUGAAGACAGUUCUUACGCAAGUGAAGAUGCAGAUCAGGCAAGAGAGGCAUUACAAGCGUCUUCUGUAGACAUAAAUAGGCCGUCUAACCUUGAACCACUGGAGCGCCCAACCUCUCCUAGAGAGGACGAACAAGAGGAGAAAGCUGAUGAGAUUCCCUGGGAGGAACGCUAUGAGAAAAUAUGGGUGGAGAACGACAAAAAGGAGACCAAGUCCCAAUACAAAAACGUGGCUGCUGAACUAAAAGAGAGGUUCGGAGAACUGGAGCACAAAGAACCACUGAGUGACCUUUCGAAACAGGAGUGGAAAGAAGAUGAAGAGGAAAAGAAAGAGCUGGAAAAGGAAGCAGAGGACGAAGAUUCCAGUGAGGAAGAGGGAGAGUCAAUAGUGCGGCCCAUCGCCCUGGCGAGAAGUGCCAUACUUUUGCCCAUCCCAGAGCAGAGAGAGUCCGGCCUGGAGGACUCGCAGUCUGAAAGUGUCCACCGCACGGUUAGUGUUGAGGUCAGCGAUGCAGAGCUUCCCAGUGACCAACACAACCCUCAAAUCAUCCCAGAAGCCCUAACGGAUGAGGCCCAGGAGCCAGAGAACCGAACAGAUAACACUGAGGAACCUGAGAGUGGAAGCAAAGAUAAGUGUCCACUAGAAUCUGCAAGCGACAAAGAACCUGAAGAACUUCACAGACCUUCAUUGCUUGUUGAGAAUGAGCUACAAGUCCCACCCAAAGUUCUAGAAGUGCUCUCUUCUGACUCCAACGAGGUUGAU